Molecule: long non-coding RNA, 927 nt
Filed under: Homo sapiens (human)
Lineage: Eukaryota; Metazoa; Chordata; Mammalia; Primates; Hominidae
Description: non-protein coding SEC24B-AS1:12
Source: RNAcentral
GAGGAAGGAACGCGCCUGGCGUCACUGAGGGUGUCACCCGGGACCGCGGCUCAGGAACCCCAGACGCACGGGCCUUGUGCUGUCGCUGCCGUGGCACCCCUUCUAGAAGGACUCUAUUCUCUAUAACAGAAGUGGGAGCCUUGGACAACUGAACGCCUAUCUCUAGCUCAAGAAAUGUCAGCUCUUUUUUUUUUUUUGAGACUGUCACCCAGUCGGGAGUACAGUGGCGCCAUCUUGGCUCUCUGUAACCUCCACCUCCUGGGUUCAAGCGAUUCUCCUGCCUCAGCCUCCUGAGUAGCUGGGGCUACAGGUAUGCACCAUCACUCCUGGCUAAUUGUUGUAUUUUUAGUAGAUAAUGGGGUUUCACCAUGUUGGCCAGGGUGGUCUCAAACUCCUGACCUCAGGUGAUCUGCCUGCCUCGGCCUCCCAAAGUGCUGGGAUUACAGACGUGAGCCACCAUGCCCAGCCAAGAAAUGUCAAUUCUUUAUCGUAGCCUGGCUUUCCAUAUUUCUCACUAGGGUUUUUAUUCUCUAGUUUGUAAAUCACAUUUGGCGUUUGUAGAUCACUCCUUCCCUUUUAGUGGCAUUCUCUAUUAGGUGUCCAUCUCCCAAUAUGAAGAAACAGUUUUCUGCUUUUUCCUCCUUUAUCUGAUCCAUUUACAGAUUUAUUACAUUUAUAAUAGGCUAGGUAUUGGGGAUACAAAAAUGAAUAAGAUAUGGUCUGUUUUCAAAGGUAUGCAGAAACUUUUCUAUAUAUUCCUACUGACUUGUAUUUGUAUUUCUUGAAUUAAAAACAAUCCUGGCUGUGUUUUUUUUUUUUUUUUUUUGCUCUUAGUGAAUCUUUGUUUCUUCUUUUCAUUAUGGCAUUCCAGUUGAGUUUCACCACGCAUUAUCAUGAGAAUAAAUAAUUUCACUGACUUUAAUAAUA